This is a non-coding RNA of Lonchura striata (white-rumped munia), 274 nucleotides long. The record is from RefSeq and is a predicted model, not a curated record. Lineage: Eukaryota; Metazoa; Chordata; Aves; Passeriformes; Estrildidae.
GCGGAGGAGAAGAAGCUGAAGCUGAGCCACACGCUGCUGCCCGCCGAGUCCAUGAAGGUGAUGGCGGAGGCCAUGGGGGUGCCGGGGGUCCCUGAGGAGACGUGCCAGCUGCUGGCGGAGGAGGCGAGCUAUCGCCUCAAGGAGGUGGCGCAGGAUGCUCUCAAGUUCAUGCACAUGGGGAAGAGGAGGAAACUCACGACGGGGGACGUGGAUUUUGCCCUAAAACUGAAAAAUGUGGAGCCCCUGUACGGGUUCCACGCCCAGGAGUUCAUCC